AUGAACGCUGGCGGCGUGCCUAAUACAUGCAAGUCGAGCGAACAGACGAGGAGCUUGCUCCUCUGACGUUAGCGGCGGACGGGUGAGUAACACGUGGAUAACCUACCUAUAAGACUGGGAUAACUUCGGGAAACCGGAGCUAAUACCGGAUAAUAUAUUGAACCGCAUGGUUCAAUAGUGAAAGACGGUUUUGCUGUCACUUAUAGAUGGAUCCGCGCCGCAUUAGCUAGUUGGUAAGGUAACGGCUUACCAAGGCAACGAUGCGUAGCCGACCUGAGAGGGUGAUCGGCCACACUGGAACUGAGACACGGUCCAGACUCCUACGGGAGGCAGCAGUAGGGAAUCUUCCGCAAUGGGCGAAAGCUUGACGGAGCAACGCCGCGUGAGUGAUGAAGGUCUUCGGAUCGUAAAACUCUGUUAUUAGGGAAGAACAAAUGUGUAAGUAACUUUGCACGUCUUGACGGUACCUAAUCAGAAAGCCACGGCUAACUACGUG
This 496-nucleotide ribosomal RNA is filed under the name uncultured bacterium. RNAcentral's name for it is "partial 16S ribosomal RNA". It matches the Rfam family "Bacterial small subunit ribosomal RNA", at positions 29 to 507 of the family's 1533-position model. The record is from RNAcentral.